AUGACCUUUGGUUCUUAUCCUCCCCACCCCUCCAAUUUCGUUUUAUCUCUCUAGAAAUACAGACCCAAAACCUCUCUUCUUCCAUAAUAUUCAUCCACUAGAUCAAUCAUCAAGAUUUGCUUUGGUUGAGCCCUAAACAACUCCACAAGAUUGAGGUGUAUAUACUCGUACAAGCUAAGAGGAAAUGUUUGACGAAGUGGACUUUGGUUGGUCUAUGGCGUAGAUGAUUUGAACUCCUCGAGUUGUGGUAGAACUUGUUGUAUGGUAAAACGCCAAGGUAAUGUGCAAGAUGAGAUAUGAAGAUGGUCAUUUGGAGUAGACUUUUUGGGAGCCCUUGUGAAGAUCACAUCUGCAUAUGCAUCUAGUUUUUGUAAAUUUUUGGGGACUUGUACAUGAUACAUGUGUGACACUUAUGUAUGAAAUUUUGAAAGCUUGUGGGAAACAAGACCAUAUGCUUGUAACUUGAACUGGGUGACUAGUUUUGCUAUUUUAGGGUGUGCUUUUAACUCAAGUCAUGCCAUGUACUGGGUUUAUAUUUUGCCUUGUAAUUAUGCACAAAGGAAGGUAAUAGUUUUAUGAUAAUUACUAGUUUGAGUUUUGUGUAUCUUAUGGACCCGCAAUGGUGUUGAAUUGGAAAUAAAAUUUCAAAACGAAGUUUCUUAAAUGUGUUGACUAUUUGAGAAGGGAAUUACCGUUUUAUAAUGAUACUCUGAUAUUGUAUUUCAUCGAAGAAAUUUUUUUGGAGGGCGCAAUGAAAAAAAAAAUGUCGCACUUUCAACCUUUUUUCGCAUGGGCCUUUUUCCGCUAUUAAAUAUAUUUGUGAAUAUCUUUUGGCAUAAGUUCUUCUAAACGACGUAAGUGUAAAAUUAGCUUUUGUUUCGUAAGUGGUAUCCUCCCAAAGGGGAUGCUACACGCAAUACAUGGAAUAUAUACGCC
Long non-coding RNA from Lycium barbarum (goji berry), 936 nucleotides. RefSeq lists it as uncharacterized. The record is from RefSeq and is a predicted model, not a curated record. The transcript has 3 exons. Lineage: Eukaryota; Viridiplantae; Streptophyta; Magnoliopsida; Solanales; Solanaceae.